This 3391-nucleotide long non-coding RNA is filed under the name Triticum aestivum (bread wheat). RNAcentral describes it as "long non-coding RNA (TAES_LNC001122)". The record is from RNAcentral. Lineage: Eukaryota; Viridiplantae; Streptophyta; Magnoliopsida; Poales; Poaceae.
AGACUGCCAUUGAGGAAUUGAGGGCGGGAUACUAUUCAUUUUGAUGCAUGUAUCAUGCAUUCAGUCUGGUGGGGGUGGAGCAGUGAGGCUGGAGACCCAGGCAGGGGACGCCUCAGGGCUUGGAGGAGAGGUCGACGAUACGGACAAGGAGCAGUAGCCUCAUGGAUCUGCAGUGAAGCGUCAUCGAGGGAUGGCUGAUGUCAAGGUGAGCUCCUGUCAAUCCUUCUCCCUCUUUAACUCCUGAUCUGUGUCACUCUCUCUCCCUCUCUUUCUGCCUAUAUAUGCAAAGAUCGCACUGUUUAUUUCCUUCUCAAUGUUGUUACCGUGUUCAUGUUUUUUUUGGAAAUUAAGAGGACUGUAUGCACUUUGUAAGCAUAUAAAUGUUUUUUCUCCUAUCAUUUUUUUUGACAUGAUGAUAGGUUCUGGAAUUUUGGAGUUAACAAAUCUGUUUACAUAUUUGUUUGUCAGGCACACAUAGCUCCGGCUGCCGCGGAUAGGAAGUACUCGACGCAUGAUAUCCUCCUGACUCUGACUGAACCCUGUUUCGUGCAAACAUGCUCUGUAUUUUUUUGGUAGGAACAUUUAACUCUAAAGACAUAACUAUUCAGACUGCAAGAUUUUUGCUUUGGGUUUCAGAAGAACUGUAUAGACAUGCUUGUUGUAGUAUCUGUGUUAUGUACUCAGUGUCAAAUACAAAGUUCAAAUAUCAUUUGAUACAAGGAACAGGCAUCUGAACUUUAUAAAAGUAGAUAUAGCAAACAUUAGGCUUGAUUGCAUUAAUAAUUUAUAUAGUUGCAGAUGUACUUACUUCUGGUACUAAUCAUUUGAUGCUUUUCUUUUUAUUUCCACCAUUACAAGAUUAAGCUUGACAGUGAAAUCUUGGAUAGUAUGUAACACCUUUUCUGCAUAUUUAGAAUAUGUAUGCAAACUCACACUGGUUUAAUUUUGCUUUGGUUUUACUAACCAAAUUAGUUUCAAUAAUCCAGUUCCAUUUUUGUCUUCCCUGCUAAUUUGCGGCUUUCUGUGCCAGAUACAUCAUAGUUAAUAAAAAAACUUCUGCUGUAAUGGAGGUACUCAUCUUUAGUAGUGUGCUUAAUUUGAUUCAUCACCUCAAGUGUUUUACACAAAAUUUGAACUAUGUGUAUCUACUGGUGAGUCCUUGGGCCUCGCUCUAUUUCAGUUUUCAAGAUGGAAGAAUGUCUUAAAGUUUCAACUACUAUUUACUAAUUGUAGGCUCCUUAGAAGAUUCCACCUAAUCUUUAGAAACAGAAAAUUAUAAGUAUAUUGUCCGCUAGAUGCAAGCAUGAGUAGCUCAAAACUGAAACGCUGCCAUCUCGGACCUCCUCCAUGGUUUGCCAGGCUACCAAGAUCAAUAAUGUAGCGACAUGAGGAGGGAAUUUGAUCAAGACAUAAGUAGGUAAAUACCCCUAGCUAUUUUCUUUAUAUAUUUUGCCCUUCUCUCACUGUAUUCUAUUUUGCCUUUUAGUGAUUGUAAAAUUAAAGUCUUCAAUAAACAUACAUUUACUUAUGCUUCAGAGGAUAAGCCUUCUGUAAAUACACCCACCCACGCCUAAGAUUUUAGCAAAUAAAUCUUGGCUCAAUAACUUUUGUUUUUAAUGGAAGGAACAAUUUCUUCAGUGACUAACUACAUCUUUUUCUUUGCUAGGCUGUAGACAAGAUAGGUGAUAUUAAAUGUUUCCUCACAAAUAACCUCUCUAAUUGACGAGAAUAACUGGGUAUGUAACAAUGUUAACAUUGGUAGUUUAUCGGCACAGUACUAAUGUUGCCUUAAUGCACAAUAAACUCAAAUAUCGUCCUCUCAGUAUAUGCCUCUACAAAAGGGUGCUUAAUGAAUUCAAUGGUUUGCCUCAUUUGUACAGAAAUUUGGACCAUUCUAGCUCAUUGAGAUAGUUUCUAAUUUAGUUUGUUGAUUAUAUUUUAUUACUACAGUUUUACUGGGCUGUGUCCUCAUGGAUUUCAAGUUUCGCUGGAGAUAUGUCAUCUGCCAAUGUUAGAAGAAUAGGUGCUUCCAUAGAAAAAGGUCUUUGUCUCGAUUCCUUCCCUUUGAAGGAAACUCCAAAUCGAGUCGUCGCGCCAUGCCUAGGCUUGCUAAAAGCUAACUCAUGUCUUAGAGAUUUUUAGUAGCGAAUUUAAGUGCAUGGUUACUGAUGUGGCUAUGGAAUGCACGGGUUGUACAGCAACUAAGUUUGUAGAGUGAAUUCACGUGCUCAUAAAGGAAGUGGUGAAACCCAAUAAACAAUAUCAUAUGGAUGCAUCUUAAGAGGUGCACAAUUGGCAUAUAUUUCGAUUGUGCUCCUUCAGGCCAUCUUUGAUGCUCAGAUUGUGCUUUCAUUGACAUUCACAUAUUCUUGUUGUUAUUGUGUAUGUGCAGCUACUGAUAUAGGUCUCUUAUAUGAAUGUUAGAUGUCAUUUCUAAAUUCAUGUUGUAACUAUUUCUGCCUUGCUAAGCUGAGAUCAGGGACUGCUGGUCAUUUCUGAAGAUCAGGACACAACCAGCCUCAUUUCUAAAGAUCAGGACCCAACCAGCCAUCCUAAUCUGAGUGUCGGAUAUUUGGAAGUUUGAAGAAGCCUAACAUGCAUAACAUUAGGAGCCCCCCUCUCCCAGUCGAGAUCAGGCAAGGCAGAUGGGAAGCAGCGGCGCCCCCUCUCCCUCGAGCUCUAGAUCCAUGGCACCAGCAUCGAGGUAAGUAGCAGCACCUCCUCUUCCAUCAUUUUUUCACCAUCUCCGAUUAAGGAGCUUUAGAUUUGCUCAUUUGUAUGAAAGGUUGACUCAAAUUUUGAAGGACGUCCCAUAUACUUUAGUGCUUAUCUGUUUGUCUUAAAUUCUUAUGGCCUGAUCUCUGCCCAUAGGAAUGUGACUAUUGGCUCUGUUGUCUCUUAAAACAGAAAAUGGAUAAUGCAAAUUUGGUGACUAAACUUGGUGACAAGCUCCCCGUCUCUCUUCUCUGCAUGUAUCCCCAUCUCUGUUCUUAGGAGACAUGCUGAAGAGUGUCUUCCUCUCGUUGCUUUGCAGGUCAUAUCUCAGAAUACAUCAUGUCAAGAACUGGUAGCCAAAGAUCUCCAUGGAACUGAGUGACAUUUCUUGGUGACUUUACAAUAUUCAGCUUGAAGCCCUUAAAUUUCCAGUAGUUGUGUCCUUAUUGUUUUGGUGUAGCACUUCAUGUAACAAUUGAAUGCUGAAUUCAUUACUUCAUGAGUAUGUGUGGCCUCUCUCCCUCUGUCUGAUUCUAUAUCAUGCCUUUCAGUGUUUUGUGUUUUAGAUUCCAUAAUCUCCUUGUAUUUGAGUGUCAUUUAUUUGGCUCCUUCAAUAUUUGUAGUGCAACUUCCUAAAUGUCAUGUCCAUGUGUUACCAAAGAUAGAAAAAAGAAAC